UGGAUGAACGCUAGCUACAGGCUUAACACAUGCAAGUCGAGGGGCAGCAUGGUCUUAGCUUGCUAAGGCUGAUGGCGACCGGCGCACGGGUGAGUAACACGUAUCCAACCUGCCCUUUACUCGGGGAUAGCCUUUCGAAAGAAAGAUUAAUACCCGAUAGCAUAAUGAUUCCGCAUGGUUUCAUUAUUAAAGGAUUCCGGUAAAGGAUGGGGAUGCGUUCCAUUAGGUUGUUGGUGGGGUAACGGCCCACCAAGCCUUCGAUGGAUAGGGGUUCUGAGAGGAAGGUCCCCCACAUUGGAACUGAGACACGGUCCAAACUCCUACGGGAGGCAGCAGUGAGGAAUAUUGGUCAAUGGGCGCUAGCCUGAACCAGCCAAGUAGCGUGAAGGAUGAAGGCUCUAUGGGUCGUAAACUUCUUUUAUAUAAGAAUAAAGUGCAGUAUGUAUACUGUUUUGUAUGUAUUAUAUGAAUAAGGAUCGGCUAACUCCGUGCCAGCAGCCGCGGUAAUACGGAGGAUCCGAGCGUUAUCCGGAUUUAUUGGGUUUAAAGGGAGCGUAGGUGGACUGGUAAGUCAGUUGUGAAAGUUUGCGGCUCAACCGUAAAAUUGCAGUUGAUACUGUCAGUCUUGAGUACAGUAGAGGUGGGCGGAAUUCGUGGUGUAGCGGUGAAAUGCUUAGAUGUCACGAAGAACUCCGAUUGCGAAGGCAGCUCACUGGACUGCAACUGACACUGAUGCUCGAAAGUGUGGGUAUCAAACAGGAUUAGAUACCCUGGUAGUCCACACAGUAAACGAUGAAUACUCGCUGUUUGCGAUAUACAGUAAGCGGCCAAGCGAAAGCAUUAAGUAUUCCACCUGGGGAGUACGCCGGCAACGGUGAAACUCAAAGGAAUUGACGGGGGCCCGCACAAGCGGAGGAACAUGUGGUUUAAUUCGAUGAUACGCGAGGAACCUUACCCGGGCUUAAAUUGCAGUGGAAUGAUGUGGAAACAUGUCAGUGAGCAAUCACCGCUGUGAAGGUGCUGCAUGGUUGUCGUCAGCUCGUGCCGUGAGGUGUCGGCUUAAGUGCCAUAACGAGCGCAACCCUUAUCUUUAGUUACUAACAGGUCAUGCUGAGGACUCUAGAGAGACUGCCGUCGUAAGAUGUGAGGAAGGUGGGGAUGACGUCAAAUCAGCACGGCCCUUACGUCCGGGGCUACACACGUGUUACAAUGGGGGGUACAGAAGGCAGCUAGCGGGUGACCGUAUGCUAAUCCCAAAAUCCUCUCUCAGUUCGGAUCGAAGUCUGCAACCCGACUUCGUGAAGCUGGAUUCGCUAGUAAUCGCGCAUCAGCCACGGCGCGGUGAAUACGUUCCCGGGCCUUGUACACACCGCCCGUCAAGCCAUGGGAGCCGGGGGUACCUGAAGUGCGUAACCGCGAGGAUCGCCCUAGGGUAAAAC
This 1439-nucleotide ribosomal RNA is filed under the name uncultured organism. Its description in RNAcentral is "SSU rRNA". It matches the Rfam family "Bacterial small subunit ribosomal RNA". The record is from RNAcentral.